UUUCCCAAUAUUUUACCUCCUCUGAAAAACAAUUAUUAGGAAUAUUAUAAGAUUUGGGGUUAAUUAGUACCUAAGGAAUACUAUCUCAGGGUUUGAGGCCUAGUUUGGAACUUGGAGCCAGAGUUCAUCCUGGAAUUCUGAGGGAGUGAUAAGGGUUGGUUUUCCAACUGUCAGAGUCUGGAAGUUGACCCUGGCUCUGGAGGCUGGUGGUUUGUUGGCUCUCUGGGAUUUUUCCUUGGAAACCUUGGGAAUACCAGAUUGACAGUUUGGAAGACAGAAAAAAUCAAGAGUAGUGUGAAUAUCAGAUCAAUGCCCAGGAGAUUGAGAAUACAAGCCAAAUUCAAAAUAAAACCCUUAGACAUCCUACAAAAGGGAUCUAAAGAACUGAAUUUAGGUGUCAUAUCAUCUGCCUGUAGCUGAUGUUUUACUGCUUCAGAUUCCUCUUCAAGGCCACUUACAACUUUACAAAUGAGGUCAAAAACUACCUGCUGCACAAUAUCAUCUGCCGAAUCUUCCUUUAGAGUCUGAGAAUUAUCUGGAACAUUCAUAUUGUCAGUUUCUGCAUCAUAGCUCAAGUUGUCUCCACCAGAAGACUGAGAACAACCUGAAUCUGAACUUUGAAGUAUUUCUAACUGUUGAUCUGGAAGGUCAAAAUCAGAUACAACCAUUGGAAUUGUCUCACUACUAGUACUUAAAAGAGAAAGUCUGUCACUUAGAGGAUUGACUGUAAGACUGAAGUUCUCCAUUUCAUCCAUCACAAGCUGUUUCUCACUGCUUCCUUUACUUGUAAUGAGUUGUACUUGGUUUGUAGGCAUAUGGGAAAAUGCUUUAAAAGAAGGGAAAAAAAAGCAGAAACUAUAUUAGAAUAUUUUCCAAAAUACUUUUCUUCCUUUAGAAUGAUAACUAAUGUCAACAUCUGUAAGACUUUACAAGAAGAUGACUUAAUUAUUAAAACUGUUUCCUUUCAAAUGAAUUAUACUUUUAUUUGCAUCAUGUAUAGUUAUAUAAGUAUAUAAACAUAUAUUUGUAUAUAUGUUUAUAUACAUAUAUAUUUAUAUAUAGGCACAGAAAGGAAAAGUUAAGUGGACAAAAAACCAGAAUUUGGUCACAAAAACUUUCUACCCUUUUUACUGAAGCUUUGAGGUAUAGAAAUUUGAGGUAAAUUAGCUUUUACAGAAUGUAUAUGUAAUACAUGUAGGCCUUAUAUACAAUUUAUAAGAAAAAUCACUCAAGUCAUAAUACAUAAUUACUCUAUAAUAAGAACAAUCAUUCUAUUACCAAGUUGUGUGUACUUUUUGGCCAGAAUCCUGAAGUAAAUUUUCUGAUCUGUGUCUGUGAAGUGAUAUAGGAUCAGAAUCAAUAUCAGUCUUUUUCACAGCUAUAAUCAGAAAAAUUCUUUAUAUUUAACUUGUCUAACUGAUUUAUGAAUUAGAAAAGCUUUCAUUCUUCAGAGAAUGUCUAAUGCCUGGAUACUUGAGAAUGAGGCAUCCUUCUAAUUACAAUUCUCUAAUAAACAAGAGUGCUUCUGAUGAAGUGUUAUCAA
Molecule: non-coding RNA, 1543 nt
Organism: Monodelphis domestica (gray short-tailed opossum)
Lineage: Eukaryota; Metazoa; Chordata; Mammalia; Didelphimorphia; Didelphidae
Source: RefSeq, a predicted model, not a curated record